This 2242-nucleotide ribosomal RNA is filed under the name human gut metagenome. RNAcentral's name for it is "bacterial LSU rRNA". The stretch from base 1389 to 2242 matches the Rfam family "Bacterial large subunit ribosomal RNA". The record is from RNAcentral.
AUUACCCUUCAUGCUCCACAGAGUAUUCUCAUAUAGCUUGUUUACCAGUUCAUUGGAACACCGGAAAGAACCGGUUUGCUCGUCAGCGCCAGCUUUGAGGGCGUCCGCAGUGAGGUACUUCUCCAUGCGCUGGAGGACAAAGGGGUUUAUGUAUCGUCCGGUUCCGCCUGCUCGUCCAAUCAUCCGGGCAUCAGCGGUACUUUAAAGGGAAUCGGCGUGAAAAAAGAACUUCUCGAUUCGACGAUCCGGUUCAGUCUGGGUGAUCUGAAUACCGAGGAAGAAGUAGACUAUGCGAUCGGCGUUCUGGGAGAGCUGCUUCCGGUACUUCGCCGUUACCAGAUGAAAUAAAAUGGCUGUUUAAAGAAUGGCUGUUCAGUUUUUUUGCGGGAAAGCAGAAGAAUGACAGCCUGCUGUAGAAAGGAAAUUCCAUGUUUCAUACAUUUUUGAUUAAAUAUGCGGAGAUUGGCCUGAAAGGUAAAAACCGCUAUGUAUUCGAGGACGCGCUGGUGUCCCACAUCCAUCACUCGUUAAAACGUCUUGAUGGAAAAUUUACCGUAACCAAGGAGGCAGGGCGUAUCUAUGCGACCGCAGCGGAAGAAUUUGAUUACGAUGAGGUCAUCGACGCACUGAAAAAGGUAUUCGGUAUUGCGGCGAUCUGUCCGAUGGUCCAGUUAGAGGACAACGGUUACGACGAUCUGAAAGCGAAGAUUGUUGAGUAUGUGGAUAAAGCAUAUCCGGAUAAACACUUUACGUUCAAGGUAAACACCCGCCGUGCAAACAAACAGUAUCCGCAUACCUCCGAGGAAGUCAACCGCGAUCUCGGUGAGGUCAUCCUGGACGCAUUCCCGGAGACGAAGGUAGACGUACACAAUCCGGAUGUCCUUUUAAAUGUGGAACUGCGUGCAAAACGUAUCAACGUAUACUCUCUGGUGAUUCCGGGACCGGGCGGUAUGCCGGUCGGAACCAAUGGACGCGCGAUGCUGCUUUUAUCCGGCGGUAUCGACAGCCCGGUGGCAGGAUACAUGAUCGCAAAACGCGGCGUUACCAUCGAGGCAACCUAUUUCCAUGCGCCGCCAUACACCAGCGACCGUGCAAAACAGAAAGUAGUCGAUCUGGCAAAGCAGGUAGCAAAAUACGCAGGUCCGAUCAAAUUAAACGUAGUCAAUUUCACAGAUAUCCAGCUCUACAUCUACGAGCAGUGCCCGCAUGAGGAGCUGACGAUUAUCAUGCGCCGCUACAUGAUGAAGAUCGCGGAAGAGCUGGCGAAGAAAGACGACUGUCUCGGACUCAUCACCGGCGAGAGCAUCGGUCAGGUAGCAUCCCAGACGGUUCAUUCCCUGGCGGUUACCAAUGCAGUCUGCACACUUCCGGUCUUCCGCCCGCUGAUCGGUUUCGACAAACAGGAUAUCGUCGAUAUUUCUCUGAAAAUCGGUACCUACGAGACAUCGAUCGAGCCGUAUGAAGAUUGCUGCACCAUCUUCGUAGCCAAACACCCGGUUACCAAGCCGGUCCUGCACCACCCUUGCGGUAUUGGGUUUCUAACCUGCGGCCAUGACCUGGCCGGGGGACAAUGUCAGGUGGGGAGUUUGACUGGGGCGGUCGCCUCCGAAAGGGUAUCGGAGGCGCUCAAAGGUUCCCUCAGAAUGGUUGGAAACCAUUCGAAGAGUGCAAAGGCAGAAGGGAGCUUGACUGCGACACCGACGGGUGGAGCAGGUACGAAAGUAGGACUUAGUGAUCCGGUGGUAUAAAGUGGGAUUGCCAUCGCUCAACGGAUAAAAGCUACCCUGGGGAUAACAGGCUUAUCACUCCCAAGAGUUCACAUCGACGGAGUGGUUUGGCACCUCGAUGUCGGCUCAUCGCAUCCUGGGGCUGUAGUAGGUCCCAAGGGUUGGGCUGUUCGCCCAUUAAAGCGGUACGCGAGCUGGGUUCAGAACGUCGUGAGACAGUUCGGUCCCUAUCCGGCGUGGGCGUAGGAUAUUUGAGAGGAGCUGCCCUUAGUACGAGAGGACCGGGGUGGACUGGCCGCUGGUGUAUCUGUUGUAUUACCAAGUGCAUAGCAGAGUAGCCAAGCCGGGAAGGGAUAAACGCUGAAGGCAUCUAAGCGUGAAGCCCCCCUCAAGAUGAGAUAUCUCAUAACGUCAAGUUAGUAAGACCCCUUGAAGACGACGAGGUAGAUAGGGCAGAGGUGGAAGUGUGGUAACACAUGGAGCUGACUGUUACUAAUAGGUCGAGGGCAUAACCA